Molecule: ribosomal RNA, 253 nt
Filed under: uncultured bacterium
Lineage: Bacteria
Description: partial 16S ribosomal RNA
Rfam family: Bacterial small subunit ribosomal RNA
Source: RNAcentral
UACAGAGGGGGCAAGCGUUGUUCGGAAUUACUGGGCGUAAAGGGCUCGUAGGUGGCCUUCUAAGUUGAACGUGAAAUCCCUGGGCUCAACCCAGGAACUGCGUCCAAGACUGGGAGGCUUGAAUCCGGGAGAGGGAUGCGGAAUUCCAGGUGUAGCGGUGAAAUGCGUAGAUAUCUGGAGGAACACCGGUGGCGAAGGCGGCAUCCUGGACCGGUAUUGACACUGAGGCGCGAAAGCCAGGGGAGCAAACGGG